RNAcentral lists this ribosomal RNA (253 nucleotides) under uncultured bacterium. RNAcentral describes it as "partial 16S ribosomal RNA". It matches the Rfam family "Bacterial small subunit ribosomal RNA", at positions 524 to 776 of the family's 1533-position model. The record is from RNAcentral.
UACGGAGGAUUCGAGCGUUAUCCGGAUUUAUUGGGUUUAAAGGGGGCGCAGGCGGGUUGAUAAGGCAGUGGUGAAAGGUUUACGCUUAACGUAGACAUUGCCAUUGAAACUGUCGAUCUUGAGUACAAAUGAGGUAGGCGGAAUGUGUUGUGUAGCGGUGAAAUGCAUAGAUAUGACACAGAACACCGAUUGCGAAGGCAGCUUACUGGGAUGUAACUGACGCUCAGGCAAGAAAGCGUGGGGAUCAAACAGG